Molecule: ribosomal RNA, 460 nt
Filed under: uncultured bacterium
Lineage: Bacteria
Description: partial 16S ribosomal RNA
Rfam family: Bacterial small subunit ribosomal RNA
Source: RNAcentral
CCUACGGGGAGCAGCAGUGAGGAAUAUUGGUCAAUGGACGGAAGUCUGAACCAGCCAUGCCGCGUGCAGGAAGACGGCUCUAUGAGUUGUAAACUGCUUUUGUACAAGGGUAAACCUGAAUACGUGUAUUCUGCUGAAAGUACUGUACGAAUAAGGAUCGGCUAACUCCGUGCCAGCAGCCGCGGGAAUACGGAGGAUCCAAGCGUUAUCCGGAUUUAUUGGGUUUAAAGGGUGCGUAGGCGGAUUGAUAAGUUAGAGGUGAAAUGUCCGAGCUUAACUCGGGAACUGCCUCUAAUACUGUUGAUCUAGAGAGUAGAUGCGGUAGGCGGAAUGUAUGGUGUAGCGGUGAAAUGCUUAGAGAUCAUACAGAACACCGAUUGCGAAGGCAGCUUACCAAUCUAUAUCUGACGUUGAGGCACGAAAGCGUGGGGAGCAAACAGGAUUAGAUACCCCUGUAGUC